Long non-coding RNA from Triplophysa rosa, 1320 nucleotides. RefSeq lists it as uncharacterized. The transcript has 3 exons. Lineage: Eukaryota; Metazoa; Chordata; Actinopteri; Cypriniformes; Nemacheilidae. The record is from RefSeq and is a predicted model, not a curated record.
CUUCCUUGUCAGUGACUGCUAUGGGAAAAAAUUCUGCAACUCGAUGCUCUGGGAUCGGUACUACUCCACGAGGCGGAGAUUAUCAAUUUUCAUACAGGCAGGGACAUGAUCAAAAUUUUGGGUGGGAACUCUAACAGUAUGAAGCAAGACACGCCUUUGAGAACUACAUGAGUGAUGUACAUUCACUUCAGAAUGUAAGACUUCAACUCGCAGGUGUGUAUAAAAAUUGUACAGUACACUAAAUGAACUGAGUAAUGAAUUAGUUAGCCUCAUAUCUUUGUAUUGGUUAACCACACUCUUGUGCAAGUUCGCAAAUCCUAAUUACUAUCCACACUUUGUAUAGCAGACUGAUUUAUGAAUGAAGUGUUAUACACAGACACAUGCACACACACUCACAUGCACGCAUGCACACGCACGCACGCAUGCACACGCACACGCACACGCACACACGCACGCACGCACGCACGCACGCACACGCACACACACGCACACACACACACGCACACGCACACAAACAUUUAUGCAUUUUUACAUUUUCAAAUAAACAAGCAAACGUGACCAAUCUAAAUCCGAAACAAUUAUAUUGAUUAUAUUAUAUUAUAAUUCAAAUGAAAUAUCUUUUUUUAAUGUUUGGACAAGUAAUUUUUGUACUCGGACAAGUGAAUGUCAAAUUUACUUGUCCGAAGGACAACCACCCUGUGUAAUGCACCACAACAGCCAAGUGACUUGCGUGAGCCACCUUAUUCCCCUGUGCUACCCACUUGAGGGGGCGCAAUCCACAGUUUGAGAACCCAAACCUCUGAUCUAAAGGUCCAUGCAUCGCACAUCAUGGCCACUCUGCAGAGGUAAGGGAUGUUUUUACACUUAUCCUUACAGAAAACCCCCGGUGGUGCACAGCAUGUUGUAUUUCUAGCUCUACUUUUUACAUUUUCUAUUUAAAGUAUUGCAAUAUAUCGCAAAUGUUUAUCGUAUCGAAAUGCAUAGCAAUAUAUUGUAUCGUGACCCAUCUAUCGUGAUAUGUAUCGUAUCGGGAGGCACUUGCCAAUACACAGCCCUAGUAUUCAUAUCUAUGAUUGUAUCAUUUUAGAUUACCUUAGCACACCUGUUCGCACACUUAUGAAGACAAAGGUGUUUUGUCUGUCUGAUCAAGUAACAAUUACUUUGUUUAUCUUUCCUACUUUACUGUACAUUUCUUUUAAGCUCACUUAAAGAAGUAGCUCUGGAAAACUUGAUGCUGAUUGGCCAAUUGUAACAUUCCAAGGUCUGAUAUUCCCAGAUAACUACCGCUCAAAACUAAAACACAUGACUCAUGUUCACACU